RNAcentral lists this ribosomal RNA (253 nucleotides) under uncultured bacterium. RNAcentral's name for it is "partial 16S ribosomal RNA". It matches the Rfam family "Bacterial small subunit ribosomal RNA", at positions 524 to 776 of the family's 1533-position model. The record is from RNAcentral.
UACGAAGGGGGCUAGCGUUGUUCGGAAUUACUGGGCGUAAAGCGCGCGCAGGCGGUCUUCCAAGUCAGUGGUGAAAGCCCGGAGCUCAACUCCGGAACUGCCAUUGAAACUGUGAGACUUGAGGAUGAGAGAGGUGAGUGGAAUUCCCAGUGUAGAGGUGAAAUUCGUAGAUAUUGGGAAGAACACCGGUGGCGAAGGCGGCUCACUGGCUCAUUACUGACGCUCAGGCGCGACAGCGUGGGGAUCAAACAGG